Molecule: unclassified non-coding RNA, 19 nt
Filed under: Chlamydomonas reinhardtii
Lineage: Eukaryota; Viridiplantae; Chlorophyta; Chlorophyceae; Chlamydomonadales; Chlamydomonadaceae
Description: small RNA Cre_1988
Source: RNAcentral
GGUGGCGGUGGCGGGGGCG